UACGUAGGGUGCGAGCGUUAAUCGGAUUUACUGGGCGUAAAGCGUGCGCAGGCGGCCCGUUAAGACAGGUGUGAAAUCCCUGGGCUCAACCUAGGAAUUGCGCUUGUGACUGGCGGGCUCGAGUACGGUAGAGGGGGGUGGAAUUCCUGGUGUAGCAGUGAAAUGCGUAGAUAUCGGGAGGAACACCGGUGGCGAAGGCGGCCUUCUGGCCUCUACCUGACGCUCAUGCACGAAAGCGUGGGGAGCAAACAGG
Molecule: ribosomal RNA, 253 nt
Filed under: uncultured microorganism
Description: partial 16S ribosomal RNA
Rfam family: Bacterial small subunit ribosomal RNA
Source: RNAcentral